AGCUCAGUGAUUGCAGCCACUUACGUUGGCAAUAUACGCUAUACAGACCAUAGUUUGAUGACAAAUGAGAAUAUGAGAGCU
RNAcentral lists this small nucleolar RNA (81 nucleotides) under Oryza longistaminata (longstamen rice). RNAcentral's name for it is "snoRNA U54". It matches the Rfam family "Small nucleolar RNA U54". Rfam says of the family: U54 is a C/D box small nucleolar RNA, which acts as a methylation guide for 18S ribosomal RNA in plants. Lineage: Eukaryota; Viridiplantae; Streptophyta; Magnoliopsida; Poales; Poaceae. The record is from RNAcentral.